Molecule: ribosomal RNA, 274 nt
Filed under: uncultured bacterium
Lineage: Bacteria
Description: partial 16S ribosomal RNA
Rfam family: Bacterial small subunit ribosomal RNA
Source: RNAcentral
CUACUGAGGGUGCAAGCGUUAAGCGGAAUUACUGGGCGCAAAGCGCACGUAGGCGGUUUAUUAAGUCAGAUGUGAAAGCCCUGGGCUUAACCUGGGAACUGCAUUUGAGACUGGUAGGCUAGAGUAUGGUAGAGGAUAGUGGAAUUCCGGGUGUAGCGGUGAAAUGCGUAGAUAUCCGGAGGAACAUCAGUGGCGAAGGCGGCUAUCUGGACCAAUACUGACGCUGAGGUGCGAAAGCGUGGGGAGCAAACAGGAUUAGAAACCCUAGUAGUCC